UGCUGCAUGGCUGUUGUCAGCUCGUGUCGUGAGAUGUCUGGGUUAAGUCCCGCAACGAGCGCAACCCUUGUCGUUAGUUGCCAGCAUUCAGUUGGGCACUCUAAGGAGACUGCCGGUGACAAACCGGAGGAAGGUGGGGACGACGUCAAGUCAUCAUGGCCCUUACGUGUAGGGCUACACACGUGCUACAAUGGCAUUUACAGAGGGAAGCAAGACAGUGAUGUGGAGCGGACCCCUUAAAGAAUGUCGUAGUCCGGAUUGGAGUCUGCAACUCGACUCCAUGAGGUCGGAAUCGCUAGUAAUCGCAGGUCAGCAUACUGCGGUGAAUACGUUCCCGGGCCUUGUACACACCGCCCGUCACACCAUGGGAGUGGGAUGCAAAAGAAGUAGUUAGUCUAACCUUCGGGAGGACGAUUACCACUUUGUGUUUCAUGACUGGGGUGAAGUCGUAACAAGGUAACC
Molecule: ribosomal RNA, 462 nt
Filed under: uncultured gamma proteobacterium 400m-FREE-26
Lineage: Bacteria; Pseudomonadati; Pseudomonadota; Gammaproteobacteria
Description: bacterial SSU rRNA
Rfam family: Bacterial small subunit ribosomal RNA
Source: RNAcentral